UACGUAGGUGGCAAGCGUUGUCCGGAAUUACUGGGCGUAAAGCGCGCGUAGGCGGAUCUGCAAGUCGGGGGUGAAAUCCCGAGGCUCAACCUCGGAACUGCCUUCGAUACUGCGGGUCUCGAGUCCGGGAGAGGUGAGUGGAAUUCCUAGUGUAGAGGUGAAAUUCGUAGAUAUUAGGAAGAACACCAGUGGCGAAGGCGGCUCACUGGCCCGGUACUGACGCUGAGGCGCGAAAGCGUGGGGAGCAAACAGG
This 253-nucleotide ribosomal RNA is filed under the name uncultured bacterium. RNAcentral describes it as "partial 16S ribosomal RNA". It matches the Rfam family "Bacterial small subunit ribosomal RNA", at positions 524 to 776 of the family's 1533-position model. The record is from RNAcentral.